RNAcentral lists this long non-coding RNA (376 nucleotides) under Olea europaea (common olive). RNAcentral describes it as "long non-coding RNA (OEUR_LNC013204)". The record is from RNAcentral. Lineage: Eukaryota; Viridiplantae; Streptophyta; Magnoliopsida; Lamiales; Oleaceae.
UUUACUACAGCAAAAAGAGGCUAUCACAAAGUGAAGCAAUUGAAGAAAAAUGUAAUUUCUAGAAGUGGGUAUGUUACCAUCUUUGGCAAUCUUGACGCCACCAAGCUCGAGAACUGAUGACACCGGUUGCCUCCACUUCUUGUGGAGCUGGAAUUUGUCUGAAGGAAAAGCAGAAGCUGUGGAGAAAGAAGAGAAUUGUAUGCAAAAGUUAAAGGUCCUUCUGCGAGAGAAAAGCGAUGGAUUUGAGAAGAGCGCUGAUUGAAACACUGUGAAUGCCAUGGCUGGUUGUAGUGGUUACAGGAGUCAGAUUUUAAGGAUGACUCCGGUAUCAUGGGCUCUCAAUUUUUAAGUGUUCGUUUUCAAGAUUUUGGGGUCU